CCCUCCAGGCCAGGAGCUUCUCACUGCAUUUCUGUCCAAACUUUGUGGAUGCAACAAAAUAAUUAAGAAAAAGUCUUCACAUUCUGAGUGAGACCGUGCUACUGUAGGGGAUGUAACUGCCAUGACUGAGAAACACAGGACCUGUUGGUGACCGAGUUAAGCUACAGGCCUGAGAAACUGAAGCCAGGAAUUGCACAUGCACCCAAAGGGAAAAAGGGUAGCUGUGAAGUAAAAAGCAAUAUUGAGAAGAUCUUCAUUUGUAGAGGAAUCUUCUACAGUAUCUCAGACAUCUUUAACACCAGAGACACGGUGGAUGGAUCCCUCAGAAAUACUCCAUGGACUUGCAGAGGCCUACAAACCGUUUUUCUCUACUUCACCGAAUUCCCGUGGUAGAGAAGGAUCUCAACAUUACUUCAAAAGCCUUUUGAAGGUCAGGUUAUACUCUGUGAGUAGCAGUUCACAUCAUAUGCCUCUGGAAAGUGGUUCUCUGCUAUGCAAUUGUUUGGUAAUUUCAUCUGUUUUCUGCAUGUAAAUCAUCUAAUAAGGUACUGCAAGGAUCUGGACCAAAAGCAUUGUCCAUCACAGGCCUUCCUUUAGGAGUGAGAAGACUCUGUGAUUACAAACAUAGGAUAAAACAACAGUUAUAUACAUCAGUGAGAAAGUAAUCUGUGUUUAAUUUUAGCAAGAUUGUUACUAGUGAUGUUCCUAUACAAAUGUGAUAAUGUAAACAAGCAUUUUAUUCUUGUAUGCUUUAUGCUUGUAGCAUUUCCAUUUAUGGAAAUACUCUUCUUCCUAACAAGUUUAUCCAACUUCUGGACUUUCUGCUGGUCCUCAGGCUUUAUAGCAUAUUAUUUGGCUCUAAUUCAUCAUACAGAGAAUCAAUUUCUUUAUUUAUAUUAAUAACCUCAGUGCAUUUGAGAUUCCUCAUAUGUUAAAAAUGGUUGAUAGUGUUGGUAAUCUGGCAUUCCCUGAGUGCAGUGAGGCUGGUGCAAAAUAUCUGACCUUAUUAGGUAAUUUCCUGUUCUAAGAGGCAGUGCAGAAAUAUCCUCCAGUGUAUGAAAUACACUUGCAUUCCGCUGUAAUAGAAGCCUCUCUGUGUAAAACACUACAAUUUUAAACCUUCCAGUAGCUGCUUAAGCUAUCUCUCAGUGUAUGAUGAAUCAGAUAGCAUAUCUUCUUUGUUCUGAAUAGCCUUUUUAAUAAACACACAAUUCCCACAAUUACUUUAUCACCCAUUAUCCAAUUGCCCACUUGAAGAUUUGUGUAUGCGAUUGUUCGUUUGCACUGAAUUUUAUCAUCGGGACUGUACAUUGCUCCUCUCCUUUUCCCCCAGGUUGUUCUGGUCACUUCCAGGCCAGUAUCCAAGGGGAGACUUGAGAACCAUUUCAGAGGAGUAGUGGACUGUUUAGCAGCUUGCUUAUUUCUAGGUUAAUGUCAAGAUUUCAUGGUACAAAUCAAAUAAGAAUGAAAUGCUUAUGUAUCAGUCCAUGCUGCUGAAAUUCAGUU
Molecule: long non-coding RNA, 1506 nt
Organism: Columba livia (rock pigeon)
Lineage: Eukaryota; Metazoa; Chordata; Aves; Columbiformes; Columbidae
Exons: 4
Source: RefSeq, a predicted model, not a curated record